This 42-nucleotide ribosomal RNA is filed under the name Crossostephium chinense. RNAcentral's name for it is "partial 28S ribosomal RNA". The record is from RNAcentral. Lineage: Eukaryota; Viridiplantae; Streptophyta; Magnoliopsida; Asterales; Asteraceae.
CGACCCCUAGUCAUGCCGGACUACCCGCUGAGUUUAAGCAUA